This is a non-coding RNA of Triticum aestivum (bread wheat), 135 nucleotides long. The record is from Rfam. NCBI's taxonomy places the organism in Eukaryota, Viridiplantae, Streptophyta, Magnoliopsida, Poales, Poaceae.
UAUGUAUUCCCUCCGUCUCAAAAUUCUUGUCUUAGAUUUAUCUAGAUAUGGAUGUAUCUAAUAAUAAAAUGUGACUUGAUACAUCCAUAUCUAGACAAAUUUAAGACAGCAUUUUAGGACGGAGAGGGUUAUUAC